Molecule: ribosomal RNA, 476 nt
Filed under: uncultured bacterium
Lineage: Bacteria
Description: partial 16S ribosomal RNA
Rfam family: Bacterial small subunit ribosomal RNA
Source: RNAcentral
AACGAACGCUGGCGGCAUGCCUAACACAUGCAAGUCGAACGAUUGCCUUCGGGUGAUAGUGGCGCACGGGUGCGUAACGCGUGGGAAUCUGCCCUUAGGUUCGGAAUAACAGCUGGAAACGGCUGCUAAUACCGGAUGAUAUCGCGAGAUCAAAGAUUUAUCGCCUGAGGAUGAGCCCGCGUUGGAUUAGGUAGUUGGUGGGGUAAAGGCCUACCAAGCCGACGAUCCAUAGCUGGUCUGAGAGGAUGAUCAGCCACACUGGGACUGAGACACGGCCCAGACGAGGGCGGGCACCAGCAGUGGAGAAUAGGGGCCGAUGGCCGCACGCGGGAUCAGCGCAGGCGGGGUUGGGGAGGAAGGCAGUAGGGUAGUAAAGCGCUGUAGCCCGGGAGGAGAGUGACUGGGCGGGGACAAGAAGCCCCGGGAAACUGCGGACAAGCAGGGGCGGAAAUAAGGGGAAGGGCACAGGGCUGAUC